Molecule: ribosomal RNA, 384 nt
Filed under: uncultured bacterium
Lineage: Bacteria
Description: bacterial SSU rRNA
Rfam family: Bacterial small subunit ribosomal RNA
Source: RNAcentral
AUUGAACGCUGGCGGCAGGCCUAACACAUGCAAGUCGAACGGUAACAGGAAGAAGCUUGCUUCUUUGCUGACGAGUGGCGGACGGGUGAGUAAUGUCUGGGAAACUGCCUGAUGGAGAGGGAUAACUACUGGAAACGGUAGCUAAUACCGCAUAACGUCGCAAGACCAAAGAGGGGGACCUUCGGGCCUCUUGCCAUCGGAUGUGCCCAGAUGGGAUUAGCUAGUAGGUGGGGUAACGGCUCACCUAGGCGACGAUCCCUAGCUGGUCUGAGAGGAUGACCAGCCACACUGGAACUGAGACACGGUCCAGACUCCUACGGGAGGCAGCAGUGGGAAUAUUGCACAAUGGGCGCAAGCCUGAUGCAGCCAUGCCGCGUGUAUGAA